ACGAACGCUGGCUGCGUGCUUAACACAUGCACGUCGCACGGAAAGGCCCUGCUUUUGUGGGGUGCUCGAGUGGCGAACGGGUGAGUAACACGUGAGUAACCUGCCCUUGACUUUGGGAUAACUUCAGGAAACUGGGGCUAAUACCGGAUAGGAGCUCCUGCUGCAUGGUGGGGGUUGGAAAGUUUCGGCGGUUGGGGAUGGACUCGCGGCUUAUCAGCUUGUUGGUGGGGUAGUGGCUUACCAAGGCUUUGACGGGUAGCCGGCCUGAGAGGGUGACCGGCCACAUUGGGACUGAGAUACGGCCCAGACUCCUACGGGAGGCAGCAGUGGGGAAUAUUGCACAAUGGGCGGAAGCCUGAUGCAGCAACGCCGCGUGCGGGAUGACGGCCUUCGGGUUGUAAACCGCUUUCGCCUGUGACGAAGCGUGAGUGACGGUAAUGGGUAAAGAAGCACCGGCUAACUACGUG
Molecule: ribosomal RNA, 467 nt
Filed under: uncultured bacterium
Lineage: Bacteria
Description: partial 16S ribosomal RNA
Rfam family: Bacterial small subunit ribosomal RNA
Source: RNAcentral